CGGUUCUUCAUUAACAACUUCAAUUGGUUGGGAACCAACUCUUUCCUGUAUGAUGGGAACUGGAACAACAACUUGAUUGGGUUCAACAAGAAUUUCUCUCAACGUGGAACUCCUACUGUCUCCAAAAUCGUUCUCCAGAAACUUAGCAGUAAUGGACUCCACAAUUCUAGUGCCGCGAUUUGGACAGUAAAACUUAUAUCCCUUUGAUCUAUCCGGAUACCC
Molecule: long non-coding RNA, 222 nt
Filed under: Olea europaea (common olive)
Lineage: Eukaryota; Viridiplantae; Streptophyta; Magnoliopsida; Lamiales; Oleaceae
Description: long non-coding RNA (OEUR_LNC010477)
Source: RNAcentral